CCUACGGGUGGCAGCAGUGGGGAAUAUUGGACAAUGGGGGGAACCCUUAUCCAGCCAUGCCGCGUGUGUGAAGAAGGCCCUCGGGUUGUAAAGCACUUUCAGUGAGGAAGAACGCCUGGUGGUUAAUACCCAUCAGGAAAGGCAUCACUCACAGAAGAAGCACCGGCUAACUCCGUGCCAGCAGCCGCGGUAAUACGGAGGGUGCGAGCGUUAAUCGGAAUUACUGGGCGUAAAGCGCGCGUAGGUGGCUUGAUAAGCCGGUUGUGAAAGCCCCGGGCUCAACCUGGGAACGGCAUCCGGAACUGUCAAGCUAGAGUGCAGGAGAGGAAGGUAGAAUUCCCGGUGUAGCGGUGAAAUGCGUAGAGAUCGGGAGGAAUACCAGUGGCGAAGGCGGCCUUCUGGACUGACACUGACACUGAGGUGCGAAAGCGUGGGUAGCAAACAGGAUUAGAUACCCCUGUAGUC
Molecule: ribosomal RNA, 465 nt
Filed under: Vreelandella stevensii
Lineage: Bacteria; Pseudomonadati; Pseudomonadota; Gammaproteobacteria; Oceanospirillales; Halomonadaceae
Description: partial 16S ribosomal RNA
Rfam family: Bacterial small subunit ribosomal RNA
Source: RNAcentral